This 145-nucleotide non-coding RNA is filed under the name Streptomyces sp. RNAcentral describes it as "SAM-I sequence". It matches the Rfam family "SAM riboswitch aptamer (S box leader)". Rfam says of the family: The SAM riboswitch is found upstream of a number of genes which code for proteins involved in methionine or cysteine biosynthesis in Gram-positive bacteria. The SAM riboswitch acts at the level of transcription termination control. Lineage: Bacteria; Bacillati; Actinomycetota; Actinomycetes; Kitasatosporales; Streptomycetaceae. The record is from RNAcentral.
CGCUCAUCCAGAGGGGCAGAGGGAAACGGCCCGUUGAAGCCCCGGCAACCCUCCAGUCGGUCACUCGUCAUCCAGCGAGGUCCCCGGCUAGGGAAGGUGCCAAAUCCGUCUCAUGGCGAAAAAUUCGUCAUGGGAAAGAUGAGGA